ACACCUGAAUUUGUGAGAAUUCCCAGUCUCCCUCAGUCCCUCCCCUCCAGCCGGCUCUCUCAUCCUCCCCCUCCGCCACCCUCGGGCUCCGGCUCUCCCCUCCGCUUCCGGCCAUCUCGGCCUCUCCUCCGCCUCCGGCCUCCGCGGACCACCCUGUAGGUUGUAGAAGAGGAGGCGUACGCAUUGCCUAGCAAGUCUCCAGCUUCAAGCGAUUGACGGCGAUCUGGAUUCCGUCUGGAUUAGAGCAGUGCAGCAGGAAGAGGAUCAGGGGGUGGUGGUGGUCCAGGCCAUGGGGGCGGGGAGGUCGGACGGGGAGAGGAGAGAUAGCCCUAAGGACGAGGUCCUCGCCGGCUGAAUCGAAUCGAGAAUUCGUCAGCUCCUCCCACCCCUGCGGUCACAUCUCUCUUGGAGAUCCUCUUCAACCCGGAGUUCCUCGUGGAGGGCACCCGCUCACCCCGGCGUGUGGAGAGGAGGUAGGCCGCCCCUCCUUGCGGGCGUCGCUGGAGGAGACAGGGCGCGCGGGAACAUCGGAUGUGGAACAACUGCUGCCAUGGUCCUCAUCCGGCCUUAAUUUCAAGAUACGGUGUAGUGGACUAGGAUGGGAAGGGAGGAGGCCGUGGCCAAGGAGGAAGAGCAGCGGGGCGAUAGGGACCUGCAAUGUGGGAACGAAGGUGUGCACUGGUCGACACCCCAUCGUGGGGAAGACAAGAGGUGUAGGUUCCGAUCUGAUCCUGUGACUAGAAGUAGCCGGGAGCUGCAAGGGCAAGUCAAAGAUGAGUGUGGUUCGGUUCAGUUUAGGCAACAAGAGCUGCAUUGUGAUCAUGGCACGGUAACUUGUCGUCGACAUGGUUCUCAGUGAGUAAUCCAUAUGGGAGACCCCUGCCAUUGUCUUCUUUAGUGACAAGCAGUGGUUCAUCGGCACUGCAAGCACUGCGAACUCCAGCAUGAACCCAAAGACUUUAAGUUUCUUUUAAGUUCUAUUCUAAUAGUACAUGUCUAGAUUUCAUCUAUCAUGCAUGUCACCGAACACAACAUCCCAACUGAGCUCAUCGACCAGCUGCGCAACGCCGGCACUACCAAGAACAAGGAGGUGUAUGCUAAACAAUUCAUCACAUCUCCUGUUGUUGAACUGCCUAUUAUGCAAAUUAUUGGCAUGUUUUCUUGUGGGUUUGUUUUGCCUCAAUGGUACUAUUCUUCUGGAAGAUUUUGUUUCAAGUUUGCAGUUCGAUUUACAAACAUGAAGAUAUAAGGAUGGGAGAUCAACAUAUUCAUGUUUUCUCUGGUAAAUGUGAAGUUCCGGUCUAUCAAAAAAGCGGCUAAUGUCUAGCAAUCUGCAGCAAGAACUUUAUCCACUCAUCUGGUCCAACUUACACCCAUGGAAUUCCCCAUCCACAUCUCUCUGUUCGUGAAAGCAAUUGCUGGAUUUGUAUGCAUUGCAGCAGUCAGCCAGAGGCUUCCAGUUUUUCCUCCAUCUGAAGCCUAGCGCUUAGAGAUCUUGUCCUCUGCAUUACCUGGUAUUUCAUUUGUUUUAGUCAUUCAGUUGACUAAAAUCAGCUCAGCUCUUCUUUCGUUUGGAAAGAUAUAUUCUGAAGCAAAAUAAUGUCCGAACAACCUGAGCUUAGACAUACAUCAAUUUUGGUGUCCUAAUCGGGGAAUUAUGAAGACAGGCAUACGUGGAAAUGUCUGCUAAUAUGGUAAAUAUAAUGUUAAAGGAUGGAAGAUUUCCAUGUGAAGCUAGAUACAACGCUCUGUUGUAUACAUGAUAUAUAUAUUGAAGGAAUUUGACCAGUCGCUUGAUUUUCUUGCUGAGAUGCAGUGGGAAAGUUAAAACCAAGCAAGAUGUCCUGUGAUAUGCACGAGUGACCUUUGGUGCCAUGGGAAGAAAAGUUAUGCCAAGAAGAUUUCGGAGAUGCUAUUGACCUUUGGUUCUGUACCGUCCUUUGGCAUGUAUAGAACUGUUUCUGAUAACUACUGUAGGUCCAACCUGGAAGCUGCAGAACUUUUGCUUCACGUGCAGCAAGAAGGACAUGUACCCCACUUUGAGAUGCAAUGGUCUGUGAUAAGCAAUUUAUAAGCAGUACUAAUAGGAAGACUGAAGGACAUGAACAAUCUCUAUUUCCAGUCAUGUGCAUGGAUCUCAAGCAAUAAAAAUGGGUGGUGGAGAUAGGGUACAAUGGUUGUUGGAGGGGCUCCUGAUGUAUGGCGGUUGGAGUUGACAAAGAUCUGGCCUCCUCGUCACCGGGCGACAGCCUAGAUGUUGCAGAUGACCUUCCAUCACACUUUAGUUUGACCUGAACUGCCUCAGGGGCAGCCACCAGUGCAUUUUCACAGACCUUCUCUCCACUAAUUGCAUACGGUUGUUAAGGACGCCAAAAAAGUACAUAUUCCACCUUUUCAACCUAUAUUUUUAAUAACCAGUUGUUCGACCCACGCUUUAUAUAUACAUGCGAUGAUUGAUUUUAUCUUCUAUCAAAUACUUGAUAAACUGCAACAUCUUGAAUCCAAAUGUAUUUUUACUUGAAGUCUUGAACGAUGCAGUUGAUUAGAUUUUAGAGUGCAUAUUUGUUUAAAUUUCAAUGAACACCAGGUUAUUUCUCCUGUUGCAACGCACGGGCAUAUGUACUAGAUGUUGUGGCCGCACCGAUGAGAAGCCGCUAGAUGUCCCUCUACGUGCUAACACCGAGUACAAUUCCAAAUUCUUUUGGAUGGACCGAGUAGAAUUACCUGGCUGCUAUUUUGUUUGUACGACCAUGGUUUAAUAGGUAAUAUUAAAAAAAUAUUUUUUUGAAGGAAACGAUAUUUGGGGCUCUCUUGUGGACUAGCUGACCGUCAAUAUAUUUUUCCACUCUAUAUGUUACCAGUGCCGUUGGUGUGAGAUACAGAGGAGGGAGGGAGGGAUGGAGAGUUGAAAGAGUACAACGACGGUGCAUCUUGCUUGAACUGGGUGAAGGAGGGGCCACGUCCUGUUCGCUCCGCACGUCGGCUAUGGAGAGAGAGAGGGAGAGAGAAGCAUGUGAUCAUGCCUAGGAUGUCCAUGUCCUUAGUCCUUCCAUACCCCACCUUCAUGUGGCUACUCCCCUCUGUCGUACCAUCUCUCCCCCGGCUUUGCAUGCUCCAAUACUGGUCCUCCUUGAGGCUGUGAUGUUGGUGUCAGGGGAAGCAUGGUUGCGUUGAUGCAGUCGGUUUGCUCCUAUUGUUGACGACAGUGUGAACAAAAGAGCACCAAUCAUUGUAAACUCUUUAUUUUCUAAACGACCAUCUUAUCUUUGAAGUGGGCAAAUAUAAAAAAUGAAUUCACAUUAAGACAAUGAAGAAUUUAACAGAGUGAGAGAUAUAGCUCAGUAUUUCACCACGACAGAUAAACUCCUCAAUAUCACGUGAACUUUGAAAUUUACUUUAUACCCGUUGCAACGCACGGGCUCUUCUGCUAGUAAUAAUAAAGCAUAGAUUGACUCCGUGGGUUCACCGUCACAAUACGUUUUCUUUCUGUGAAUUUGCGCUUUCAGUUUUUAUUAAAUGUAAUGAUUUUAGAUCUUUCUUAGUUCGUUGUGGUACUAUUCAUGUGAUCAUAUGGCCCGCCACGCACGACUAUUCCGUUGUUCCUGUUAUUAAUCAGGAAGAAGCGUUUUGGUACCUAAAAGAUCUCCACGAACAGGAAAAAGGAGUUGAUCAAGGACACGAGACGGACCGAGUUGACGUCCAUCGAGAUCAACCUACCACGCCUACAUAUAAAAACAGGAGAGGAGGCGGCGGCCAGAGGUAAGGGACGAGGAAGUGCCCAGGGCCGCGGCGGCUGGAGCUUGGAGGGGCCGGAUCCUUGCGCGUCAGGGGCUGGGGAGGCGGAUCCGGAGGUGGGUGGCGCGGGGGUGUCGCCGGUGACGGCGAGGAAGGCCGGAGCGCGGCUUCUCGGGCAGAAACGAGACAAGGAGGUGAGGAGAGAAGAAGCGACAAGCGACAAAGGAAGGGGGGUGCGACGACCUAGGCAGGAGCUCGCCGGAGCCGGGCGACGACCGACGGGCGCGGGUGACGGAGGGAUACGACACGGCGUUGCGAAAUCCUUUGCGGGUGCGAGCGGACGACGCGGAACCCUCCUGUCGCUAUGGAUGCUGCUACACCCGCACCACCAGCCCAAGGUCAGUCUCCUCUACCUGGUUGACUGGUUCUAUAGCGCAGCUCCCGUCUCGCACCAUGCUGCUGAACUUCUGCCCCUCAACCCCACCGCUCCUCCUAAAUUAGCUCAAUGGCGUUGACUCUUCCAUAGAGGAUGGUGUGGUGUCAGGCCAGGCAGCAUAACACUCGACGAGUACACGUUCUGCAGCCCUCGAGGCUGAGCAGCCGCCAUUGGCUCGUGGGUAUGGAAGCAGAGUCCGGGAUGGCGAUGGUGCCAAGGAGGACUCUUGGACGUCCACCAAUUGCAUCGCUGCUGCCGUACCCAUGGAGUGGCGCGGCUCCAACUACUCUGAGAUGGUAUUCCUCCCUCUUUCUUUCCUAACAGAACUAUUCGGUGUCAUCCCCUUUUUUAAAUGAAGUACAACCUGCUAGCUACCUAAUGGGCACUGCCACUGAACUUGUCAACCCCUUCAGUUCUGCCGAUGCAUUGUAGACUCCAACAAUGGUGGAAAGGAAUCAGAUUCCAAUGAAACUAGCACUAUUGUGUUUUUAGACAGUUGCCUUUUUUUGCUAAAUUACCUAGCUUCUUCGUGGUAGAGUAGGUACAAAGAUACUCUCUGAUGAAUUUGAUUGGUAUUGUGUAAAGUAGAAAGCCUGAAAUUACUUCGUUGGUAACUGAGUUAACUAAUCCCAGAACUAGAAACAGGUAGGUGAUCGAAAGAUUUGCGGAUUGUGAACCUUUUACUCAGUCUUAUCCCUAGGGUGCACAACAUUUGCUUUUAGCAAAGGGUAUCUAUUGUUGAGAUUCUUACAAAUUGCUGGGAGUCAGCACAAAGUACAUGGAACACAUUGGUGCGAUAUUUUAAAAUUGUGAAACAGCCUCCAAGCUACUUGUGAAGGUGUCAAUUUCUGCAUCGAUAAAGAUUCAAUUAUACUUCUGAUGGGAUUUUUUCUGUUAGCUAUCUGUACAAGAGAAUGAACUUGAGAAAUAUUAAUUUCUAGAUAAAUUUCUUUGGAAAGUGAAGCUUCCCCUGAAAAUUAAAGUUUUUCAUGGCUG
Molecule: long non-coding RNA, 5167 nt
Organism: Triticum aestivum (bread wheat)
Lineage: Eukaryota; Viridiplantae; Streptophyta; Magnoliopsida; Poales; Poaceae
Exons: 7
Source: RefSeq, a predicted model, not a curated record